Molecule: ribosomal RNA, 560 nt
Filed under: Bonia saxatilis
Lineage: Eukaryota; Viridiplantae; Streptophyta; Magnoliopsida; Poales; Poaceae
Description: eukaryotic LSU rRNA
Rfam family: 5.8S ribosomal RNA (bases 203-354)
Source: RNAcentral
GGAAGGAGAAGUCGUAACAAGGUCUCCGUAGGUGAACCUGCGGAGGGAUCAUUACAAGUACACUAACCCGCCGGCUAUGUAUAACCCUUUGUUGUCCGACUCUGUUGCCUCCGGGGCGACCCUGCCUUCGGGCGGGGGCCCCGGGUGGACACUUCAAACUCUGCGUAACUUUGCGUCUGAGUAAAUUUAAUUAAUAAAUUAAAACUUUCAACAACGGAUCUCUUGGUUCUGGCAUCGAUGAAGAACGCAGCGAAAUGCGAUAAGUAAUGUGAAUUGCAGAAUUCAGUGAAUCAUCGAAUCUUUGAACGCACAUUGCGCCCUAGUAUUCUAGUGGGCAUGCCUGUUCGAGCGUCAUUUCAACCUCUAAGCACAGCUUACUGUUGGGAAUCUACGUCUGUAGUUCCUCAAAGACAUUGGCGGAGCGGUAGUCCUCUGAGCGUAGUAAUUUUUUAUCUCGCUUCUGUAGGCGCUGUCGUCCCGGCCGUUAAACCCCUUUUUCUGGUUGACCUCGGAUCAGGUAGGGAUACCCGCUGAACUUAAGCAUAUCAAUAAGCGGAGGA